Molecule: ribosomal RNA, 488 nt
Filed under: Troglostrongylus wilsoni
Lineage: Eukaryota; Metazoa; Nematoda; Chromadorea; Rhabditida; Crenosomatidae
Description: partial small subunit ribosomal RNA
Source: RNAcentral
GACUGUUAGAGUUUAAUCUUUAUUUGUGUUUUACCAUAAUGUUUUUUAGUUUGCUUAUAGUUAUUUUAGGUAAAAUUAAGAUCUUUUUUGGUGAUAAGUUAUGGUUUUAAUAUUUGGGGAGUGAAUUAGAUUAGUACCUAAUUAAUCAAAAGUUAAAAUUACAGGAGUAAAGUGGUAUUUAAACUGAAAGAAUAUUGGCAGAUUUUCUAAAUUAUCUUUGGAGGUUGAGUGGUAAUUGAGAACCCUCAUUAACAACUUGUCUAUUGGGCUUAUGUAUGAUCGUUUAUUUUACUUUUAAGAAGUAAGAUUUAUAAUUUUUUUGGUUAAAAAAAUAGAUAUAUAUUUGGUUUAUAGAUUAGAAUUAUUUGACCUACAUUAUUUUAGGAUUUUGGAUUAUUAGUGUAGUGUUAAUAUGAAAUUGUAAAAGACAGUAAAAGAAUCUUUAUGUUUUUUUGAAGAGUAUUUAGAAGUGGUACAAAUCAUCCAUC